AGCAGCCGCGGUAAUUCCAGCUCCAAUAGCGUAUAUUAAAGUUGCUGCAGUUAAAAGCUCGUAGUUGAAUUUCGGGACCAUCUUGUUGGUCGUGCCUCGGUACGUACUGGCAUUGUUGGUUUCUCCCUUCUGACGAACCAUGAUGUCAUUUAUUUGGUGUCGUGGGAAAUCAGGACUGUUACUUUGAAAAAUUAGAGUGUUUAAAGCAGGCUCACGCUUGAAUACAUUAGCAUGGAAUAAUGAAAUAGGACGUUUGAUUCUAUUUUGUUGGUUUCUAGGAUCGACGUAAUGAUUAAUAGGGAUAGUUGGGGGCAUUAGUAUUCAAUUGUCAGAGGUGAAAUUCUUGGAUUUAUUGAAGACUAACUACUGCGAAAGCAUUUGCCAAGGAUGUUUUCAUUAAUCAAGAACGAAAGUUAGGGAUCGAAGACGAUCAGAUACCGUCGUAGUCUUAACCAUAAA
This 459-nucleotide unclassified non-coding RNA is filed under the name uncultured Glomus. RNAcentral describes it as "SSU rRNA". It matches the Rfam family "Eukaryotic small subunit ribosomal RNA", at positions 569 to 1036 of the family's 1831-position model. Lineage: Eukaryota; Fungi; Glomeromycota; Glomeromycetes; Glomerales; Glomeraceae. The record is from RNAcentral.